RNAcentral lists this ribosomal RNA (253 nucleotides) under uncultured bacterium. RNAcentral describes it as "partial 16S ribosomal RNA". It matches the Rfam family "Bacterial small subunit ribosomal RNA", at positions 524 to 776 of the family's 1533-position model. The record is from RNAcentral.
UACAGAGGUCUCAAGCGUUGUUCGGAUUCAUUGGGCGUAAAGGGUGCGUAGGCGGCGCGGUAAGUCGGAUGUGAAAUCUCGGAGCUUAACUUCGAAACUGCAUUCGAUACUGCCGUGCUUGAGGACUGGAGAGGAGACUGGAAUUUACGGUGUAGCGGUGAAAUGCGUAGAUAUCAAGAGGAACACCUGAGGCGAAGGCGGGUUGCUAGGCUGACACUGACGCUGAAGCGCGAAAGCUAGGGUAGCAAACGGG